RNAcentral lists this long non-coding RNA (2520 nucleotides) under Sus scrofa (pig). RNAcentral's name for it is "lncRNA (ENSSSCG00000044243.1)". The record is from RNAcentral. Lineage: Eukaryota; Metazoa; Chordata; Mammalia; Artiodactyla; Suidae.
UUUUUUCUUUGUUUUUUCUUUUUUCUUUUCAUGGCUACACCCACAACAUAUGGAGGUUUCCAGACUAGGGGUCUAUCUGGCCUACACCACAGCUCACAGCAAUGCCAGAUCCUUAACCCACUGAGGGAGGCCGGUGAUCGAACCUGCAUCCUCUGGAUACUAGUUGGGUUUGUUACUGCUGAACCACAGUGGGAACUCCAGUCAUUUAAUAUAAAAAGCGUAAAAAACAUUAUUAUUUGGUUUUGCCGAACAGUAAUUCAUUAUAUUUGAAAAUUUGGAUCAUGUUAAAUAUAUUCCAGAACUUAUUUAAUUAUAAUAAGAUUUGAUUGUAAGCAGAUCAUCCUUAUGCUUAUUCAAGAGUCAUGAUACACUGUUUAUGUGGACUCUGGUACAGUGAAGGAAGAAAAGUCUAGAGGGAACAUGGACCAGAGGCAAAUGUCAGGUUAUAAGUAUGACUUUUAAGUUGUUACAUUUUAGCGCUGAGGAUUUAGAUACUAAUCUAUAGCAAAUAAGCAAAUACUGAAGGCUUGGACCUGGUUUGUGCAAUUAACUGUUGAGUGGUGAGGAAGAUUAAAGUAAGGGGACUCCAAUGAGAAAAGCAUGAUCCUUAUUUUUUAUCAAUUACACCAAUAAAUUGUACACAAGAUGGAGAACCAUGAAAGACAACUUACUGUUCAUUUCAGACUAAAUCUUUGAGACUGAGCAUAUGAGGGCUUGUUUAUGUUAUUUUGUUUGUGUAAGAAGGAAAAUUGGACUAGAAGCUAGAAAUCACUGGUUAAUUCAAUGCCAUUUCCUCAUCAUACCAAGCUAGGAAGCAGGAUUCCUACAAAUACUUCUUAUAAUAGUUUCAGAGUUUUAGCAAAUGAUCAUUAGAAAAAUGACUCUUCAAGGAGUUCCCGUUGUGGCACAGUGGAAAUGAAUCCAGCUAGGAAGCAUGGGGUUUCUGGUUCGAUCCCUGGCCUCGCUUAGUGGGUUAAGGAUCCAAAGCUGCCAUGAGCUGUGGUGUUGGUCACAGACGCGGCUCAGAUCUGGCAUUGCUAUGGCUCUGGUGUAGGUCGGCAGCUACAGCUCCAAUUAGACCCCUAGCCUGGGAACCUCCAUAUGCCACAGGUAUGGCCCUAAAAAGACAAAAGACAAAAAAAAAAAAAAGAUAAAUGACUCUUUAAUUGAAUUUCCCUUAAUUGAAACUGUCUUCUCAUCUCCUUAAACAUUACUCCUAUAUACACCCCCCUUGAAAGCACCCCAACAGCCACAACCACCAUGACAAACCUCUCUUGAUGAUCUAACAGCUUCUCAAUUGCUAAGGAAGGAACAGAUUCAAGAGCUUUCUCCUGGGUGGAUCUCUUCCACGACAGAGGUGUUUUACAGUCAAUAUUUUGCAGCAAAGCAGUGCAUUAAAGCACUUCUGAAGCAUCAGGGAGCUGUGAGUCAGCAAAAUUCCUGUGGUGCACAACCACAUCAUUUCCCUUUGAGCCACCCCAUUUAAUUCUUGGAGCCUGCUAUUUGGGUAAUCUCAGAAUGCUAGGGAAAUGACUGAAAGCAGUAAUAGGUUAAAAAAAAAAAAGUAUACAUGUAUGUGUUGGGCAUGGGCAAAAUGAGUGGUUUUUUUUAGAAGUGUGUCCAUUUGGUUGCUAUUGAAGUUCUAUGAAGAAAUAGAUACAAAUACAUGCAAUGACACACAAAAAAAUACAUAAAUUAAACACCUAGGAAAUAGUGAGGGGCCACUGCUGUGCACAUUCUAAAUAAUCCUUUAGGACGAAGGCGUUCACUGAACCAGGUGUCUGGUGGCGCCCCAGGUGUCCUAGGAUGCUGAUGCCUCACUGCUGGGUCCCUCUCCAGUAAAAUUCGCUGAAGAACUUUACUUAAGGUGACACCCUUCCCAGGGGCAAUAUGCACCCAAUCACUGGUCCAUGUGGUUAUACAAAGACCUGGUUCCCUUGCUUCUGUUGGUACAAGGGAGUCACCUUAGAGCCCUACAGAACAUUGGCUGAGGCCUCAGUUGUACUGCUGACUUUCACUCAACCUCACCCUCUGCCCAGGCCUGUGUGCCCUCACAGAUGUUGCUUUUAAGAACCAUUCAAAAGCCCCUCUAAGUAAUUCUGAGUCUCUUUCUCAGGAAACCUAAGACUCUUAAUACUGGAAGUGAACCUGGGGAAGCCUUUAAAACUAGAUCUGGGAGCCAGAUCAUCCACUGGCUUGUGGACAAUGAGUGCCUCAGUUCUGGUGGCAGGCCAAGGACUGACAGCCCCCAGUGCUUUAUAGUACCACUGUUAAAACUUUCAUCAUGGGAGUUCCUUCUGUGGCACAGCAGGUUAAGAAUUUGACACAGUAUCUGUGAGGAUACAGGUUCAAUCCCUGAACUUGCUCAGUAGGUUAAAGAUCCAGUGUUGCCACAAGCUGCAGUAUUGGUUGCAGAUGCAGCUAGGAUCCUAUGAUGCUGUGGCUGUGGCAUAGGCCUAUAGCUGAAGCUCAGAUUAGAACCCUAGCCUGGGAACUUCUAUAUGCCAUGGGUACAGCCCU